AGCUGUUGAUUGCACUACUAUGUCUUUGAUCAAUACAGUGUGUACUUAAGCUGAUAGUUUAUAUUAUAUUAGCAUCCAGCUAGAAAGAGUUAUAAUUGAUACUAUAUCUAAGUCAUUAUAAUCACUAAUAACAUGCAUAGGUUAACACAUAAACAUGAAAGCCAAAAUUACGGGGUCGUUUUUCCCACAGGCAGGGAGCUGGGCUGCAGCGGCUGCAGAGCCACCGGGGCACCGGAGAGCUCCUGGAGGCUGCGCUUGUGUCUGGGCAGCGGGGACAGCGCAGCCACAGCUCUGCUCCCUGGGCAUGGGCUGAGCAGAUUGCAGGGCCGGCUCUGCUUCUGGCAGCCAGCAGCUCUUUCCUGUUCCAGGCAAACGGUUCAGGUGCCACCCCGUGGGCACAGCGGUGCUGAUUCUGCUGCUCCUGGUGCUGGCACUGGCUUUGGGGGCGGCCGUGGCUGUGCUGGCAGCACGACAGGUUCCAGUCACACCUGCGACUCCGCCAUCAGUUCUGGGCUGUCCCUUUGACUGGGUUGGGUACAAGGGGUUCUGCUACAACUUGUCAAGGGAUAACUGCACCUGGGAGCAGGCUCAGGAACGGUGCUCCAAGCUGAACGCCUGCCUGGCCAUUGUCAAGGAUGAGGAGGCCUUGGAGUUGCUCUUCCGCCUCUGUGGGAACGGCGAUUUCUGGCUCGGGCUGCGCAGACGGGGCGAGCGCCUGCAGUGGUUGGACAACAGCAGCUACAGCUUCCCGGAUUAUGUCCACGGUGAUUCUGAGUGUGUGUACCUGGCUGACAAGAGAUUGAAGACUGGGAACUGCUCCGAGAAGCGGCCGUAUCUCUGCAGCAAGCCCGAAGGUCCCCUGUAACAGCAGCUGCACAAAGGACCUUCUCCACACUGGGCAGUGCCAGGGAGCUCAGCUUCAUCGCUGAGCCCAGCACAGCGCUGUCCUUCCUCAGCUGCACCCUGUGCCUUGCACUUCCUCUCAGGGUCACCUCAGUGCCAACGCUGGGCUGGGGCUGCAAAGGAAAAGUCUCUGCAAUCCAUCCUUCCACUGGUGCUGCCUGCAUUGAGUGCAGUGC
Long non-coding RNA from Melospiza georgiana, 1079 nucleotides. RefSeq lists it as uncharacterized. The record is from RefSeq and is a predicted model, not a curated record. Lineage: Eukaryota; Metazoa; Chordata; Aves; Passeriformes; Passerellidae. The transcript is spliced from 4 exons.